RNAcentral lists this ribosomal RNA (253 nucleotides) under uncultured bacterium. RNAcentral describes it as "partial 16S ribosomal RNA". It matches the Rfam family "Bacterial small subunit ribosomal RNA", at positions 524 to 776 of the family's 1533-position model. The record is from RNAcentral.
UACGAAGGGGGCUAGCGUUGCUCGGAAUCACUGGGCGUAAAGGGUGCGUAGGUGGGCAGGUAAGUCAGUGGUGAAAUCUCCGAGCUUAACUCGGAAACUGCCGUUGAUACUAUUUGUCUUGAAUAUUGUGGAGGUAAGCGGAAUAUGUCAUGUAGCGGUGAAAUGCUUAGAUAUGACAUAGAACACCAAUUGCGAAGGCAGCUUACUACACAACCAUUGACGCUGAGGCACGAAAGCGUGGGGAUCAAACAGG